CUGCUCCAUCCAAGGCGCCCGCGGCUCCACCCUCGGACUCGCGGCGUCGCUGUCGAACCGCUCGAACUGCGUGUCGUCCACGUAGCCGACGGCGAUGAAGCGGGGCUCCCCGCGGCCGGGCCGGGACACGCCGGUCUCGGUCAGGGUCAGGGCCCCCGAGAGCAGCAGGAGGAGGGUUCGAGGCGCCAUAACAGGGAUCCUCGCCAUCUGGGGAGAAUCUGAGUCCCGGCUGAUCAGUGCGGUUGUAAAAACCCGGAACGGCGGAAACGCUGAUGGGCUUCCCUAGAAACCGGACACGCAAUGGGAGUGAGAACUGGGGCCGCGUCAAGAGUCUCCAGCAGGAGGACCUGACACAGGUUGU
This is a long non-coding RNA of Equus quagga, 361 nucleotides long. RefSeq lists it as uncharacterized. NCBI's taxonomy places the organism in Eukaryota, Metazoa, Chordata, Mammalia, Perissodactyla, Equidae. The transcript has 2 exons. The record is from RefSeq and is a predicted model, not a curated record.